CCUACGGGCGGCAGCAGUGGGGAAUAUUGCGCAAUGGGCGAAAGCCUGACGCAGCGACGCCGCGUGAGGGAUGAAGGUCUUCGGAUCGUAAACCUCUGUCAGCAGGGAAGAACGGUCACUGUGCUAAUCAGCAGUGAAUUGACGGUACCUGCAAAGGAAGCACCGGCUAACUCCGUGCCAGCAGCCGCGGUAAUACGGAGGGUGCGAGCGUUAAUCGGAAUUACUGGGCGUAAAGCGCUCGUAGGCGGUAUGUCAAGUCAAGGGUGAAAGCCCCGCGCUCAACGGGGGAACUGCCUUUGAGACUGGCAGACUGGAGUGUGUGAGAGGUAAGUGGAAUUCGAGGUGUAGGAGUGAAAUCCGUAGAUAUCUGGAGGAACACCAGUGGCGAAGGCGACUAUCUGGAACGUAACUGACGCUGAGGAGCGAAAGCGUGGGUAGCAAACAGGAUUAGAUACCCCAGUAGUC
Molecule: ribosomal RNA, 465 nt
Filed under: uncultured bacterium
Lineage: Bacteria
Description: partial 16S ribosomal RNA
Rfam family: Bacterial small subunit ribosomal RNA
Source: RNAcentral